Molecule: non-coding RNA, 723 nt
Organism: Phalacrocorax carbo (great cormorant)
Lineage: Eukaryota; Metazoa; Chordata; Aves; Suliformes; Phalacrocoracidae
Source: RefSeq, a predicted model, not a curated record
UCUACCCACCCUGGGGACAGUAAUGCACAGACAUCAAUAUGAUGGAUGCAAAAUGUCCAUUUAUUUAACUGCGUCACAUGCGUAUAUAGCUCUUGUGCUUCCUGUUCCUGCCAGUCCUGGGGAGGAGUCUAUCUUCCCUCACAGCUCAUGAUCUCCCGGUCCCUGAUCCCUGUCUAUUUCCCUACAGUUUAGAAAUACAUGCAUGGGAGAGAAUAAAAAGUAAUACUAACUUCAGAAAGAAAGUGGUGGAAUUUUGUUUUCCUUGAUUCAGAUUUCUUCAUGAGACAAGAAAACAGGAAGAUGAUGUUUGUAAUUGUCAAGCCGAUUGGAAAACACAGAGCUAUGCUGCAUCCCCUGUCUUGGGAAGCUGUAGUGACAUAAGAAAAUCUAUGCAUUUUGUAAGAAGCAGUAAAAACAAAAAGACUCUUCAUUUCACCACUACAAAUAUUUUCUUUUCAUGGAGAAUUUUGGCACAUGUAUUUCCUUCAGAGCAACAUUGGUUUCCAGGCUGAAAAUGUUCAUGAUUCAGUCUCAGCUCUUUUCUAAAGGGAAUAAAUGCAAGCAUCUCUGUGCAAAUUGCAACAUUCUGUUAUAGAAGAGAAGAAAAUAUACUUGGUUCCUGCUCCUACUGCUGCAAGCCAUUAACUCCAUUCCAUUUCACAGCUGGGUGCUGUUUUCCUUGGGGGGGAAAGUGAUGCAAUAAACAUGCUUGGAAUAAUAAAA